This 269-nucleotide long non-coding RNA is filed under the name Sorghum bicolor (sorghum). RNAcentral describes it as "long non-coding RNA (SBIC_LNC017540)". Lineage: Eukaryota; Viridiplantae; Streptophyta; Magnoliopsida; Poales; Poaceae. The record is from RNAcentral.
GCCUUUUCAAAGUUAUCAAUAAUAUUCCUAUCAUGAGCACUUGUUUUCUUUAUAUAUUAUGACUAACCAUGACAGAGAAGAAAACAAGUAUGGGUGAGGGAAUCUUCGAGAACUCGGUUUGCACAACCUUCUCCCUCUUCUAAAAAGUUUUUCAAAAAUAAAAUAUUUAAAAUAUCGUUGCCUUCAAACUCCAUUUAACAUGUCUCCUAGUUUGAAAUUUGCUUUGCAUAUGGUUUAAUCCUUGCUAAUAUCCUUGAGGUUAUGAACAC